ACGAACGCUGGCGGCUUGCUUAACACAUGCAAGUCGCACGGAAAGGCCCUGCUUUUGUGGGGUGCUCGCGUGGCGAACGGGUGAGUAACACGUGAGUAACCUGCCCUUGACUUUGGGAUAACCUCAGGAAACUGGGGCUAAUACCGGAUAGGAGCUCCUGCUGCAUGGUGGGGGUUGGAAAGUUUCGGCGGUUGGGGAUGGACUCGCGGCUUAUCAGCUUGUUGGUGGGGUAGUGGCUUACCAAGGCUUUGACGGGUAGCCGGCCUGAGAGGGUGACCGGCCACAUUGGGACUGAGAUACGGCCCUGACUCCUACUGGAGGCAGCAGUGGGGAAUAUUGCACAAUGGGCGGAAGCCUGAUGCAGCAACGCCGCGUGCGGGAUGACGGCCUUCGGGUUGUAAACCGCUUUCUCCUGUGACGAAGCGUGAGUGACGGUAAUGGGUAAAGAAGCACCGGCUAACUACGUG
RNAcentral lists this ribosomal RNA (467 nucleotides) under uncultured bacterium. Its description in RNAcentral is "partial 16S ribosomal RNA". It matches the Rfam family "Bacterial small subunit ribosomal RNA", at positions 29 to 507 of the family's 1533-position model. The record is from RNAcentral.